GAAACAGCUGCCAAGUUGCUAAUGCUAUUAAAAAUAGUGCUUGCUCCCUAAAAAAUGAAUUGCUUAUUUUAAGAAGACAAGAGUGGCUUGAAUCUGUCCUGCUUGCGUUUUUCAUCUCCUGGGCACAGUGCCAGUGAAUCAGAGAAGGCCUGCCUGUCAGAUGGGAAUGCCAUCUGUAAGGAUGGGGCCAGGCCUAUGCAGGAGCCAGCGUUUGUGGGCCUGGGCUGAGCGAGGCAUGCUUGUGUCCGGAGAAAUCUACUUGUAAUUCUGGGAACCAGAAGAAGAAGGCAAUUUAGCAGAGAAGAUUGAGGCUGUGAUGUUUCCCGGGUGAGAGGGUCUCCAUAUAGUUAGUGUCGGUGGAGUCAGGGUUAGACUCUCAACCUGGAAAUGCAGGUCCCAAGGGCCUUUCCCUGUAUGCAAGAAGAAAGCAAUUGCUAAAGCCUCUUCCUAAACUUUGGCUCCUGCAACCACUUAACACAGUUUCCUCCCCUAUGACCUUCUGCAAGGGAGAAGGGAGGUGUGGAUGUGAAAGCUCAGACAGGAGUGUUGAGAUGAGAAGAAAGAAGCACAGAGGAUGGCAGCACCAGCCUGACUUCCUUUGAGUCCAGAGCUUUGGUGCAGGCACCACACACAACCGUGUGAUGGCUCCUCAAAGGAUGAGCUAGCAUCUCCACAGCACCCAGCAAUCCCAUGUCCCAGUAUUUAUCCAAAAGAAUGGAAAGCAGAGAUUCAAAUGGGUAUCUGUUCACCAUGCACAGAAGCAUUGUUCCCAACAGCAAAAAAGGUAGAAACAAUCAUCAGUGUGCACUGAUGGAUGAAUGGAUAAACAAAGCGUGAUGUAUAUAUGCAAUAGAAUAUUGUUCAGCCUUGAAAUGGAGCAAAAUUCUCACGCAUAGAUGAAACUUAGAGAUGUUAUGCUAAGUGAAAUAAGCUGGGCAUAAAAGGACAAAUGUUGGGUAAGUCACCUAUAUGAGAGAUCAAAAGUAGGUAAAUUCAUAGUGACAGAAAGUGGAAUGGGGCAGCCAGGAGCCAAGGAAUGAAGACAAUGAGGAGUAGUGUUCAAGGGCGCCGAGUUUUUGUUUGGGAUGAUGAAAAACUUCUGGAGAUGGCCGGUGGUGAUGGCUGCAGAACGGUGUGAAUGUACUUAUGCGGUGGAACAGUACACUUAGGAAUGACUACCGUGGUAGACUUCGAUGCAAUGUAUAUAUCAUCACAGUAAAGGAAGUGAGAAGCUUGCUGGGCUGUGAACCAAAAUGAAAUCAGUGUAGUUCUGGGAAGAACCAGUUACUCUGGGAAUAGUGAUCUCAGGAGGGCUGAAGUUAGACCCCACUCGAGAAGCCGUUCCUCAGCAUCGGAUCCUACAGUGUCUAAUUCAGAUCCUGGGCGCCACGUGGAGCACCGAGCCCAGCACACGGUCAGCAUAACAAGCACAAGUGUUGGUUCUCCAUCUGCAUUAAUAUUUUUAUGUAGAAAGCUAACUGCAUUUGACCAUUUAUACACAGAUUCUGUUUUUAUCAAAUUACCCCUUUAAUAAAAAAGUUUUUAUAUAAAAUUUAGAAAAGAAGUAAAAAAUAAACUCAAAGUCAUAAACGAUCUGAUCAAG
RNAcentral lists this long non-coding RNA (1603 nucleotides) under Heterocephalus glaber (naked mole-rat). RNAcentral's name for it is "lncRNA (ENSHGLG00100041876.1)". Lineage: Eukaryota; Metazoa; Chordata; Mammalia; Rodentia; Bathyergidae. The record is from RNAcentral.